UGGGUAACCUGCCUCAAAGAGGGGAAUAGCCUCCCGAAAGGGAGAUUAAUACCGCAUAAUAUGUUUAAGUCGCAUGACUUUAACAUCAAAGGAUUUUCUUUUAGAAAUUCCACUUUGAGAUGGACCCGCGGCGCAUUAGCUAGUUGGUGAGGUAACGGCUCACCAAGGCAACGAUGCGUAGCCGACCUGAGAGGGUGAUCGGCCACAUUGGAACUGAGACACGGUCCUGACUCCUAGGGACGG
This 243-nucleotide ribosomal RNA is filed under the name uncultured bacterium. RNAcentral's name for it is "partial 16S ribosomal RNA". It matches the Rfam family "Bacterial small subunit ribosomal RNA", at positions 118 to 348 of the family's 1533-position model. The record is from RNAcentral.